GCGAGUCUGAAUAGGGCGAAUGAGUAUUUGGUCGUAGACCCGAAACCAGGUGAUCUACCCUUGGUCAGGUUGAAGUUCAGGUAACACUGAAUGGAGGACCGAACCGACUUACGUUGAAAAGUGAGCGGAUGAACUGAGGGUAGCGGAGAAAUUCCAAUCGAACUUGGAGAUAGCUGGUUCUCUCCGAAAUAGCUUUAGGGCUAGCCUCAAGUGAUGAUUAUUGGAGGUAGAGCACUGUUUGGACGAGGGGCCCCUCUCGGGUUACCGAAUUCAGACAAACUCCGAAUGCCAAAUAAUUUAACUUGGGAGUCAGAAUGUGGGUGAUAAGGUCCAUAUUCGAAAGGGAAACAGCCCAGACCACCAGCUAAGGUCCCAAAAUAUAUGUUAAGUGGAAAAGGAUGUGGCGUUGCCCAGACAACUAGGAUGUUGGCUUAGAAGCAGCCAUCAUUUAAAGAGUGCGUA
RNAcentral lists this ribosomal RNA (462 nucleotides) under Staphylococcus pseudintermedius. RNAcentral describes it as "partial 23S ribosomal RNA". It matches the Rfam family "Bacterial large subunit ribosomal RNA", at positions 677 to 1136 of the family's 2925-position model. The record is from RNAcentral. Lineage: Bacteria; Bacillati; Bacillota; Bacilli; Caryophanales; Staphylococcaceae.